UUGCAGGCUGAAACUCGCCUGCAUGAAGUCGGAAUUGCUAGUAAUCGCAGAUCAGCAUGCUGCGGUGAAUACGUUCCCGGGCCUUGUACACACCGCCCGUCACACCAUGGGAGUCGGUAACACCCCGAAGCCUGUAGUCUAACCGCAAGGAGGACGCAGUCGAAGGUGGGAUUGAUGACUGGGGUGAAGUCGUAACAAGGUACC
Molecule: ribosomal RNA, 204 nt
Filed under: uncultured bacterium
Lineage: Bacteria
Description: partial 16S ribosomal RNA
Rfam family: Bacterial small subunit ribosomal RNA
Source: RNAcentral